GAUGCUACCUUUAGUGUUCUACUUUCUCUUCAAACCCUUUCUCCCUACCUUCAUUUUCUUUUUAUCCACUAAAAGAAGAAGAGUCUUUUCUGGCUUGAAAUGGCUCUUAGCUAUUUUUAACAUGUUCAAUAGCUCUGGUAGGAUAGUAUUCAGUUUGUUCAUAUGAUAAUUUAUGACAAAUUGAAAGAAGAAAUCAGAGAGUGACUGCAGGAUCAAGUUCUAACUAAGCUCUCCAU
RNAcentral lists this long non-coding RNA (236 nucleotides) under Elaeis guineensis (African oil palm). RNAcentral's name for it is "long non-coding RNA (EGUI_LNC048786)". Lineage: Eukaryota; Viridiplantae; Streptophyta; Magnoliopsida; Arecales; Arecaceae. The record is from RNAcentral.